Non-coding RNA from Dipodomys ordii (Ord's kangaroo rat), 70 nucleotides. NCBI's taxonomy places the organism in Eukaryota, Metazoa, Chordata, Mammalia, Rodentia, Heteromyidae. The record is from Rfam.
GGGAAGGUAGCUCAGCGUUAGAGUGCAUGCCUUGCAAGCAUGAGGCCCUGGGUUCAAUUCCUCAGCACCA